This 239-nucleotide ribosomal RNA is filed under the name uncultured bacterium. Its description in RNAcentral is "partial 16S ribosomal RNA". It matches the Rfam family "Bacterial small subunit ribosomal RNA", at positions 94 to 334 of the family's 1533-position model. The record is from RNAcentral.
AGCGGCGGACGGGUGAGUAACGCGUGGGUAACCUGCCUCAUACAGGGGGAUAACAGUUGGAAACGGCUGCUAAUACCGCAUAAGCGCACAGUACCGCAUGGUACCGUGUGAAAAACUCCGGUGGUAUGAGAUGGACCCGCGUCUGAUUAGCUAGUUGGUGGGGUAACGGCCUACCAAGGCGACGAUCAGUAGCCACCUGAGAGGGUGACCGGCCACAUUGGGACUGAGACACGGCCCAA